RNAcentral lists this non-coding RNA (28 nucleotides) under Mus musculus (house mouse). The record is from RNAcentral. Lineage: Eukaryota; Metazoa; Chordata; Mammalia; Rodentia; Muridae.
UGGCUGAUACUGGAAUGCUGUGGAAGUC